CCGAAAACGGAACGUUAUGUUUUCCUUUUUAGAAAAACCAAAUUUUCUACUAAACUUGAUAGCCCAAUUAUUAUUAUUGUUUUCUAAGGAUUUAUGGAAAUUUAAGUACCCACCAGUCCAAAAUAUUAAAAAUUAUAUAACUAUAAAUUUAGUAAAAACUAAAAUAUUAGGGUUAACCUGGUGCCAGCAACCGCGGUCAAACCAUUGCUAACAAAUAAUUUUUUUAAAAUCUACUCAACCCCUUAAAAUUUUAUGCAGGUGGUUUGCAGUAAAAUGCAGCUACCCUAUACGCCUAACAAAUUUUGAUUUUCUGAUAGAAAAAUAGGAAUAAAAACUAGGAUUAGAGACCCUACUAUUCUUAUAUUAAAUAAUGUAGAUUGAGAAGUAAAACACUCCUGAGAAACUCAAAAGUCAUGGCGGCUAUUAAAACUAAUCAGGGGAGCUUACCAAGUAAUUGACAACCACCAAGAAUUCUUCACUUCUAUUUAAAGUUUGUAUGCCGUCGUUUAAAAUUUUUCUAAGAAAAGUUUUAAUUUCCUUUUUAGUUUUAGAGAAACUAUUAAAACAGAUCAAGGUGCAACUAAUAUAAAAGAUUGGGCGAGCUACAAUGUCAACAUGAAAUCUCGGAGGCAGAUCUAAAAGGCUAGCGGAAGUUGGACUUGAAAGUAACAAAGUUAAAUUAAUAAAUAAGGUUUGAAUUCUAUUUUUAAUAGUGC
This 716-nucleotide ribosomal RNA is filed under the name Orcula gularis. Its description in RNAcentral is "partial 12S ribosomal RNA". The record is from RNAcentral. Lineage: Eukaryota; Metazoa; Mollusca; Gastropoda; Stylommatophora; Orculidae.